RNAcentral lists this ribosomal RNA (199 nucleotides) under uncultured bacterium. Its description in RNAcentral is "partial 16S ribosomal RNA". It matches the Rfam family "Bacterial small subunit ribosomal RNA", at positions 1302 to 1500 of the family's 1533-position model. The record is from RNAcentral.
AGUCUGCAACUCGACUACAUGAAGCUGGAAUCGCUAGUAAUCGCGAAUCAGAAUGUCGCGGUGAAUACGUUCCCGGGUCUUGUACACACCGCCCGUCACACCAUGGGAGUUGGUAACGCCCGAAGUCAGUGACCCAACCUUAGGGAGGGAGCUGCCGAAGGCGGGACUGAUAACUGGGGUGAAGUCGUAACAAGGUAAC